AUGAUUCAGCGGCGGACGGGUGAGUAAUGCCUAGGAAUCUGCCUGAUAGUGGGGGACAACGUUUCGAAAGGAACGCUAAUACCGCAUACGUCCUACGGGAGAAAGCAGGGGACCUUCGGGCCUUGCGCUAAUAGAUGAGCCUAGGUCGGAUUAGCUAGUUGGUGAGGUAAUGGCUCACCAAGGCGACGAUCCGUAACUGGUCUGAGAGGAUGAUCAGUCACACUGGAACUGAGACACGGUCCAGACUCCUACGGGAGGCAGCAGUGGGGAAUAUUGGACAAUGGGCGAAAGCCUGAUCCAGCCAUGCCGCGUGUGUGAAGAAGGUCUUCGGAUUGUAAAGCACUUUAAGUUGGGAGGAAGGGCAUUAACCUAAUACGUUAGUGUUUUGACGUUACCGACAGAAUAAGCACCGGCUAACUUCGCGCCAGCAGCCGCGGUAAUACGAAGGGUGCAAGCGUUAAUCGGAAUUACUGGGCGUAAAGCGCGCGUAGGUGGUUUGUUAAGUUGAAUGUGAAAGCCCCGGGCUCAACCUGGGAACUGCAUCCAAAACUGGCAAGCUAGAGUAUGGCAGAGGGUGGUGGAAUUUCCUGUGUAGCGGUG
This 600-nucleotide ribosomal RNA is filed under the name uncultured bacterium. RNAcentral describes it as "bacterial SSU rRNA". It matches the Rfam family "Bacterial small subunit ribosomal RNA", at positions 87 to 683 of the family's 1533-position model. The record is from RNAcentral.